This 305-nucleotide ribosomal RNA is filed under the name uncultured bacterium. RNAcentral describes it as "bacterial SSU rRNA". It matches the Rfam family "Bacterial small subunit ribosomal RNA", at positions 337 to 639 of the family's 1533-position model. The record is from RNAcentral.
GCCUACGGGGGGCAGCAGUGAGGAAUAUUGGUCAAUGGGCUUACGCCUGAACCAGCCAAGUCGCGUGAGGGAAGACUGCCCUAUGGGUUGUAAACCUCUUUUGUCAGGGAGCAACGCCGGCUACGUGUAGCCGGACUGAGAGUACCUGAAGGAAAAGCAUCGGCUAACUCCGUGCCAGCAGCCGCGGUAAUACGGAGGAUGCGAGCGUUAUCCGGAUUUAUUGGGUUUAAAGGGUGCGUAGGCGGAAUGCCAAGUCAGUGGUAAAAUCGCGGGGCUCAACCUCGCUCCGCCGUUGCAACUGGCGU